This 440-nucleotide ribosomal RNA is filed under the name uncultured bacterium. RNAcentral describes it as "partial 16S ribosomal RNA". It matches the Rfam family "Bacterial small subunit ribosomal RNA", at positions 338 to 795 of the family's 1533-position model. The record is from RNAcentral.
CCUACGUGUGGCAGCAGUGGGGGAUAUUGCACAAUGGGGGAAACCCUGAUGCAGCGCCGCCGCGUGGGUGAAGAAGCGCCUCGGCGCGUAAAGCCCUGUCAGCAGGGAAGAAAAUGACGGUACCUGAAGCAGAAACCCCGGCUAACUACGUGCCAGCAGCAGAGGUAAUACUGAGUGGGCAAGCGUUAUCCGGAUUUACUGGGUGUAAAGAGGGCGCAGACGGCAAUGCAAGCCAGGAGUGAAAGCCCGGGGCCCAACCCCGGGACUGCUCUUGGAAAUGCGUGGCUAGAGUGCAGGAGGGGUAGGCGGAAUUCCUGGUGUAGCGGUGAAAUGCGUAGAUAUCAGGAGGAACACCGGUGGCGAAGGCGGCCUGCUGGACUGCAACUGACGUUGAGGCCCGAAAGCGUGGGGAGCAAACAGGAUUAGAUACCCUAGUAGUC